This 66-nucleotide transfer RNA is filed under the name Amynthas gracilis. Its description in RNAcentral is "tRNA-Trp". Lineage: Eukaryota; Metazoa; Annelida; Clitellata; Crassiclitellata; Megascolecidae. The record is from RNAcentral.
AAGACUUUAAGUUAAUAAUAAACUAAAAACCUUCAAAGUUUUCAACAGGCAUAACCCUAAGUCUUG